Podarcis lilfordi (Lilford's wall lizard) is the source of this 70-nucleotide non-coding RNA. The record is from the annotation of a GenBank genome assembly. NCBI's taxonomy places the organism in Eukaryota, Metazoa, Chordata, Lepidosauria, Squamata, Lacertidae.
GGAUAGCUCAGUUGGUUGCAGUGUGGUGUUAAUAAUGCCAAGGUCAUCGGUUCGAUGCCUGUAUGGGACA